GAUGAACGCUGGCGGCGUGCCUAAUACAUGCAAGUCGAGCGGACGGACGAGAAGCUUGCUCCCCUGAUGUUAGCGGCGGACGGGUGAGUAACACGUGGACAACCUACCUAUAACACUGGGAUAAGCUCUGGAAACGGUAGCUAAUACCGGAUAAGAUUUUGAACGGCAUGGUCCAAACGUGAAAGACGGUCUUGCUGUCACUGAGAGAUGGAUCCGCGCUGCAUUUGCUAGUGGGUAAGGUAACGACUUACCAAGGCAACGAUGCGUAGCCGACCUGAGAGGGGGGUCGGCGACACGGGAAGUGGAACAGCGACCAUGGUCCUGAGAGACGCAGCAGAAGCGUAUGGGAGGCAGUGGGCGAGAACCUUACAGAGCGACGGCAAGUGUGAGGUAGCAAUCUUCGGAGCGUAAAGAUCUGUUAUGAGGGGAAAACAUCUUUUUGAGGAAAUGUAGAGAUAGUGACGGUACCUGAUCAGAAAGCCCCGGCUAACUACGUG
RNAcentral lists this ribosomal RNA (497 nucleotides) under uncultured bacterium. RNAcentral's name for it is "partial 16S ribosomal RNA". It matches the Rfam family "Bacterial small subunit ribosomal RNA", at positions 28 to 507 of the family's 1533-position model. The record is from RNAcentral.